Long non-coding RNA from Stomoxys calcitrans (stable fly), 593 nucleotides. RefSeq lists it as uncharacterized. The transcript has 3 exons. The record is from RefSeq and is a predicted model, not a curated record. Lineage: Eukaryota; Metazoa; Arthropoda; Insecta; Diptera; Muscidae.
UUUUGUUAUCAUGUAUUUGCUAUCGUUAAUUUCGCCUUUUUAAUUAAAGUUUAAUCAAAACGAUUCUUAGUAGCUAAUAAUCGAUCAGCAAAAUACCCCUUCCCAAGGCAUUUCAGUUCGCCACAGACCUGGCUGCCACAAAAAUAUAUUUCGUUAAAUUAGUGUCAUUAUACGAUAUGGUGGUGGCUGGUGGCAAAAAAAUUCUAAAAAUCUCGUGCUUUGAUCAAAUGCUGUGUGUUGUGCACGCUGUACUUAUGAAUGUGACAAAAAAUCAGCAUCAAAAGCACACAGUGUUUGCUGAUUUCAGCAGACUUAUUUCUCUGGGUGUAUUGUAAUUUCCUUAACAUUUUACGCAAGCAAUUGCCAAGAUGUAAGAAACAAUCCUUGAGGAACUGUUGGCAUUGACAGUAAUCUGGAAAGGGUGGAGCCAAAACCUCUGACAUAAUCUUAAUUAGAUCCACAUAUUUAUUAAGGGCCUUGGAGUAGUCACCAGUAUCAUAGAGUCUUUUGGCGGUGCGAGACAUCAUUUCCGUAUCCUGAAAUUUUGAAAAUUAAAUAUUAAAAACAUUAAAAAAAAUUGCUUUAUAAAAUCU